Molecule: ribosomal RNA, 654 nt
Filed under: uncultured archaeon
Lineage: Archaea
Description: bacterial SSU rRNA
Rfam family: Archaeal small subunit ribosomal RNA
Source: RNAcentral
GCCUAUAGCGUCCGUAGCCGGCUUUGUAAGUUUUCGGUUAAAUCUAUAUGCUCAACAUAUAGGCUGCCGGGAAUACUGCAAAGCUAGGGAGUGGGAGAGGUAGACGGUACUCGGUAGGAAGGGGUAAAAUCCUUUGAUCUAUCGAUGACCACCAGUGGCGAAGGCGGUCUACCAGAACACGUCCGACGGUGAGGGAUGAAAGCUGGGGGAGCAAACCGGAUUAGAUACCCGGGUAGUCCCAGCUGUAAACUAUGCAAACUCAGUGAUGCAUUGGCUUGUGGCCAGUGCAGUGCCGCAGAGAAGUCGUUAAGUUUGCCGCCUGGGAAGUACGUACGCAAGUAUGAAACUUAAAGGAAUUGGCGGGGGAGCACCACAAGGGGUGAAGCCUGCGGUUCAAUUGGAGUCAACGCCAGAAAUCUUACCCGGAGAGACAGCAGAAUGAAGGUCAAGCUGAAGACUUUACCAGACAAGCUGAGAAGUGGUGCAUGGCCGUCGCCAGCUCGUGCCGUGAGGUGUCCUGUUAAGUCAGGUAACGAGCGAGAUCCCUACCUCUAGUUGCCACCAUUACUCUCAGGAGUAGUGGGGCGAAUUAGCGGGACUGCCGCAGUUAAUGCGGAGGAAGGAGGGGGCCACGGCAGGUCAGUAUGCCCCGAA